UGAGGAAUAUUGGUCAAUGGGCGAGAGCCUGAACCAGCCAAGUAGCGUGCAGGACGACGGCCCUAUGGGUUGUAAACUGCUUUUAUGUGGGGAUAAAGUGCGUGACGUGUCAUGCAUUGCAGGUACCAGAUGAAUAAGGACCGGCUAAUUCCGUGCCAGCAGCCGCGGUAAUACGGAAGGUCCGGGCGUUAUCCGGAUUUAUUGGGUUUAAAGGGAGCGUAGGCUGUCUAUUAAGCGUGUUGUGAAAUUUACCGGCUCAACCGGUGGCUUGCAGCGCGAACUGGUCGACUUGAGUAUGCAGGAAGUAGGCGGAAUUCAUGGUGUAGCGGUGAAAUGCUUAGAUAUCAUGACGAACUCCGAUUGCGCAGGCAGCUUACUGUAGCAUAACUGACGCUGAUGCUCGAAAGUGCGGGUAUCAAACAGG
This 424-nucleotide ribosomal RNA is filed under the name Verrucomicrobiota bacterium. RNAcentral describes it as "Verrucomicrobia bacterium partial 16S ribosomal RNA". It matches the Rfam family "Bacterial small subunit ribosomal RNA", at positions 355 to 776 of the family's 1533-position model. The record is from RNAcentral. Lineage: Bacteria; Pseudomonadati; Verrucomicrobiota.